This 1489-nucleotide ribosomal RNA is filed under the name Cylindrospermopsis raciborskii GIHE 2018. RNAcentral describes it as "bacterial SSU rRNA". It matches the Rfam family "Bacterial small subunit ribosomal RNA". Lineage: Bacteria; Bacillati; Cyanobacteriota; Cyanophyceae; Nostocales; Aphanizomenonaceae. The record is from RNAcentral.
AAAACGGAGAGUUUGAUCCUGGCUCAGGAUGAACGCUGGCGGUAUGCUUAACACAUGCAAGUCGAACGGGAUGCUUAGGCAUCUAGUGGCGGACGGGUGAGUAACGCGUGAGAAUCUGGCUCCAGGUCGGGGAUAACAGUUGGAAACGACUGCUAAUACCGGAUGUGCCGAGAGGUGAAAGAUUUAUUGCCUGGAGAUGAGCUCGCGUCUGAUUAGCUAGUUGGUGGUGUAAGGGACCACCAAGGCGUCGAUCAGUAGCUGGUCUGAGAGGAUGAUCAGCCACACUGGGACUGAGACACGGCCCAGACUCCUACGGGAGGCAGCAGUGGGGAAUUUUCCGCAAUGGGCGAAAGCCUGACGGAGCAAUACCGCGUGAGGGAGGAAGGCUCUUGGGUCGUAAACCUCUUUUCUCAAGGAAGAAGAAAGUGACGGUACUUGAGGAAUAAGCAUCGGCUAACUCCGUGCCAGCAGCCGCGGUAAUACGGAGGAUGCAAGCGUUAUCCGGAAUGAUUGGGCGUAAAGGGUCUGCAGGUGGAACUGAAAGUCUGCUGUUAAAGAGUUUGGCUUAACCAAAUAAAAGCGGUGGAAACUACAGAACUAGAGUGCGGUAGGGGCAAAAGGAAUUCCUGGUGUAGCGGUGAAAUGCGUAGAUAUCAGGAAGAACACCGGUGGCGAAAGCGUUUUGCUAGACCGUAACUGACACUGAGGGACGAAAGCUAGGGGAGCGAAUGGGAUUAGAUACCCCAGUAGUCCUAGCCGUAAACGAUGGAUACUAGGCGUGGCUUGUAUCGACCCGAGCCGUGCCGGAGCUAACGCGUUAAGUAUCCCGCCUGGGGAGUACGCACGCAAGUGUGAAACUCAAAGGAAUUGACGGGGGCCCGCACAAGCGGUGGAGUAUGUGGUUUAAUUCGAUGCAACGCGAAGAACCUUACCAAGACUUGACAUCCUGCGAAUCCUGGUGAAAGCUGGGAGUGCCUUAGGGAGCGCAGAGACAGGUGGUGCAUGGCUGUCGUCAGCUCGUGUCGUGAGAUGUUGGGUUAAGUCCCGCAACGAGCGCAACCCUCGUUUUUAGUUGCCAGCAUUAAGUUGGGCACUCUAGAGAGACUGCCGGUGACAAACCGGAGGAAGGUGAGGAUGACGUCAAGUCAGCAUGCCCCUUACGUCUUGGGCUACACACGUACUACAAUGCUACGGACAGAGGGCAGCGAGCCAGGGAUGGCAAGCGAAUCCAGAAACCGUAGCUCAGUUCAGAUCGAAGGCUGCAACUCGCCUUCGUGAAGGAGGAAUCGCUAGUAAUUGCAGGUCAGCAUACUGCAGUGAAUUCGUUCCCGGGCCUUGUACACACCGCCCGUCACACCAUGGAAGUUGGUCACGCCCGAAGUCAUUACCCCAACCGAAAGGAGGGGGAUGCCUAAGGUAGGACUGGUGACUGGGGUGAAGUCGUAACAAGGUAGCCGUACCGGAAGGUGUGGCUGGAUCACCUCCUUUU